Molecule: long non-coding RNA, 439 nt
Organism: Ricinus communis (castor bean)
Lineage: Eukaryota; Viridiplantae; Streptophyta; Magnoliopsida; Malpighiales; Euphorbiaceae
Exons: 2
Source: RefSeq, a predicted model, not a curated record
CUGAAUUUCCCAAAGAAAAGAAAGCCUUUCAUCGUCUAUGAUAUUCUCUCCCAAAUACACACAUGGUUUGUUUCUCUCUAUUUUCCCUUCUUCUUUGCUCGCUACUGUCAACUAAGAGAGGCCAACUUUUUUAUACAAUUUACAAGAAGAAGACAUCUGAGGGGUUUCACCCCAUUACCCUACCUGAUUGCACAGCGUUGCAUGCUUUUAUAUUAUGGUUUUCUCAAGACAAAUGGAACCCUGAUUGUCAGCAUUAACGCCAUUGGAUGUGCUAUAAUAUAUACAGCCACAUAUGCAAGUGGAGGCACAAUUGUUGCAAUACAUUUAACGGUGCAAAGCUUUGCCAAAUAUUUCUUUUCCUUUUUUUUUUUUUCAACUUUCUGUAAUAUAGGGACUGAAAUUUUCCACUUGAAAUAAACAUUGCAAAGAUUGAGAAUCA